GGGUUGUGAGGUUAAGCGACUAAGCGUACACGGUGGAUGCCCGGCAGUCAGAGGCGAUGAAGGACGUGCUAAUCUGCGAAAAGCGUCGGUAAGGUGAUAUGAACCGUUACAGCCGGCGAUGUCCGAAUGGGGAAACCCAGUGCAAUUCGUUGCACUAUCGUUAACUGAAUACAUAGGUUAACGAGGCGAACCGGGGGAACUGAAACAUCUAAGUACCCCGAGGAAAAGAAAUCAACCGAGAUUCCCCCAGUAGCGGCGAGCGAACGGGGAGCAGCCCAGAGUCUGAAUCAGCUUGUGUGUUAGUGGAACGGUCUGGAAAGUCCGACGGUACAGGGUGAUAGUCCCACACCAAAAUGCACAGGUUGUGAACUCGAAGAGUAGGGCGGGACACGUGGUAUCCUGUCUGAAUAUGGGGACCAUCCUCCAAGGCUAAAUACUCCUGACUGACCGAUAGUGAACCAGUACCGUGAGGGAAAGGCGAAAAGAACCCCGGCGAGGGAGUGAAAAGAACCUGAAACCGUGUACGUACAAGCAGUGGGAGCACCUUCGGGUGUGACUGCGUACCUUUGUAUAAUGGGUCAGCGACUUAUAUUCUGUAGCAAGGUUAACCGUAUAGGGAGCCGCAGGGAAACCGAGUCUUAACUGGGCGUUAAGUUGCAGGGUAUAGACCCGAAACCCGGUGAUCUAGCCAUGGGCAGGUUGAAGGUUGGGUAACACUAACUGGAGGACCGAACCGACUAAUGUUGAAAAAUUAGCGGAUGACUUGUGGCUGGGGUGAAAGGCCAAUCAAACCGGGAGAUAGCUGGUUCUCCCGAAAGCUAUUUAGGUAGCGCCUCGUGAACUCAUCUUCGGGGUAGAGCACUGUUUCGGCUAGGGGGUCAUCCCGACUUACCAACCCGAUGCAAACUACGAAUACCGAAGAAUGUUAUCACGGGAGACACACGGCGGGUGCUAACGUCCGUCGUGAAGAGGGAAACAACCCAGACCGCCAGCUAAGGUCCCAAAGUCAUGGUUAAGUGGGAAACGAUGUGGGAAGGCACAGACAGCGGGAUGUUGGCUUAGAAGCAGCCAUCAUUUAAAGAAAGCGUAAUAGCUCACUGGUCGAGUCGGCCUGCGCGGAAGAUGUAACGGGGCUAAACCAUGCACCGAAGCUGCGGCAGCGACACUAUGUGUUGUUGGGUAGGGGAGCGUUCUGUAAGCCUGCGAAGGUGUGCUGUGAGGCAUGCUGGAGGUAUCAGAAGUGCGAAUGCUGACAUAAGUAACGAUAAAGCGGGUGAAAAGCCCGCUCGCCGGAAGACCAAGGGUUCCUGUCCAACGUUAAUCGGGGCAGGGUGAGUCGACCCCUAAGGCGAGGCCGAAAGGCGUAGUCGAUGGGAAACAGGUUAAUAUUCCUGUACUUGGUGUUACUGCGAAGGGGGGACGGAGAAGGCUAUGUUAGCCGGGCGACGGUUGUCCCGGUUUAAGCAUGUAGGCUGGUUAUCCAGGCAAAUCCGGAUAAUCAAGGCUGAGGUGUGAUGACGAGGCACUACGGUGCUGAAGUAACAAAUGCCCUGCUUCCGUGAAAGCCUCUAAGCAUCAGGUAACAUCAAAUCGUACCCCAAACCGACACAGGUGGUCAGGUAGAGAAUACCAAGGCGCUUGAGAGAACUCGGGUGAAGGAACUAGGCAAAAUGGUGCCGUAACUUCGGGAGAAGGCACGCUGGUGUGUAGGUGAAGUCCCUGCGGAUGGAGCUGAGACCAGUCGAAGAUACCAGCUGGCUGCAACUGUUUAUUAAAACACAGCACUGUGCAAACACGAAAGUGGACGUAUACGGUGUGACGCCUGCCCGGUGCCGGAAGGUUAAUUGAUGGGGUUAUCCGUAAGGAGAAGCUCUUGAUCGAAGCCCCGGUAAACGGCGGCCGUAACUAUAACGGUCCUAAGGUAGCGAAAUUCCUUGUCGGGUAAGUUCCGACCUGCACGAAUGGCGUAAUGAUGGCCAGGCUGUCUCCACCCGAGACUCAGUGAAAUUGAACUCGCUGUGAAGAUGCAGUGUACCCGCGGCAAGACGGAAAGACCCCGUGAACCUUUACUAUAGCUUGACACUGAACAUUGAGCCUUGAUGUGUAGGAUAGGUGGGAGGCUUUGAAGCGUGGACGCCAGUCUGCGUGGAGCCAACCUUGAAAUACCACCCUUUAAUGUUUGAUGUUCUAACGUUGGCCCCUGACCGGGGUUGCGGACAGUGUCUGGUGGGUAGUUUGACUGGGGCGGUCUCCUCCCAAAGCGUAACGGAGGAGCACGAAGGUUAGCUAAUCCUGGUCGGACAUCAGGAGGUUAGUGCAAUGGCAUAAGCUAGCUUGACUGCGAGCGUGACGGCGCGAGCAGGUGCGAAAGCAGGUCAUAGUGAUCCGGUGGUUCUGAAUGGAAGGGCCAUCGCUCAACGGAUAAAAGGUACUCCGGGGAUAACAGGCUGAUACCGCCCAAGAGUUCAUAUCGACGGCGGUGUUUGGCACCUCGAUGUCGGCUCAUCACAUCCCGGGCUGAAGUAGGUCCCAAGGGUAUGGCUGUUCGCCAUUUAAAGUGGUACGCGAGCUGGGUUUAGAACGUCGUGAGACAGUUCGGUCCCUAUCUGCCGUGGGCGCUGGAGAAUUGAGGGGGGCUGCUCCUAGUACGAGAGGACCGGAGUGGACGCAUCACUGGUGUUCGGGUUGUCAUGCCAAUGGCACUGCCCGGUAGCUAAAUGCGGAAGAGAUAAGUGCUGAAAGCAUCUAAGCACGAAACUUGCCCCGAGAUGAGUUCUCCCUGAGACUAUAAGUCUCCUGAAGGAACGUUAAAGACGAUGACGUUGAUAGGCCGGGUGUGUAAGCGCAGCGAUGCGUUGAGCUAACCGGUACUAAUGAACCGUGAGGCUUAACCUUACAACGCCGAAG
Molecule: ribosomal RNA, 2907 nt
Filed under: Klebsiella pneumoniae
Lineage: Bacteria; Pseudomonadati; Pseudomonadota; Gammaproteobacteria; Enterobacterales; Enterobacteriaceae
Description: 23S ribosomal RNA
Rfam family: Bacterial large subunit ribosomal RNA
Source: RNAcentral